RNAcentral lists this ribosomal RNA (423 nucleotides) under uncultured bacterium. RNAcentral's name for it is "bacterial SSU rRNA". It matches the Rfam family "Bacterial small subunit ribosomal RNA", at positions 207 to 622 of the family's 1533-position model. The record is from RNAcentral.
AAGACCUUGCGCUUUUGGAGCGGCCGAUGUCUGAUUAGCUUGUUGGUGAGGUAAAAGCUUACCAAGGCUUCGAUCAGUAGCUGGUCUGAGAGGACGACCAGCCACACUGGGACUGAGACACGGCCCAGACUCCUACGGGAGGCAGCAGUGGGGAAUUUUGGACAAUGGGGGAAACCCUGAUCCAGCCAUGCCGCGUGAGUGAAGAAGGCCUUCGGGUUGUAAAGCUCUUUCAGCCGGAACGAAACGGUUACGGUUAAUACCCGUGACUACUGACGGUACCGGAAGAAGAAGCACCGGCUAACUACGUGCCAGCAGCCGCGGUAAUACGUAGGGUGCAAGCGUUAAUCGGAAUUACUGGGCGUAAAGCGUGCGCAGGUGGUUUUGUAAGUCAGAUGUGAAAUCCCCGGGCUUAACCUGGGAACU